Non-coding RNA from Phrynosoma platyrhinos (Desert horned lizard), 72 nucleotides. NCBI's taxonomy places the organism in Eukaryota, Metazoa, Chordata, Lepidosauria, Squamata, Phrynosomatidae. The record is from the annotation of a GenBank genome assembly.
GCCAGUGUGGCAUAAUGGUUUGAGUGUUGGACUAGGACUCUGGAUACUAGGGUUCAACUCCCUACUUGGCCA